This 334-nucleotide unclassified non-coding RNA is filed under the name soil metagenome. RNAcentral's name for it is "partial contains 5.8S ribosomal RNA, internal transcribed spacer 2, and large subunit ribosomal RNA". The stretch from base 1 to 120 matches the Rfam family "5.8S ribosomal RNA", at positions 35 to 154 of the family's 154-position model. The record is from RNAcentral.
GAUGAAGAACGCAGCGAAAUGCGAUAAGUAAUGUGAAUUGCAGAAUUCAGUGAAUCAUCGAAUCUUUGAACGCACAUUGCGCCCGCCAGUAUUCUGGCGGGCAUGCCUGUUCGAGCGUCAUUUCAACCAUCAAGCCCCCGGCUUGUGUUGGGGACCUGCGGCUGCCGCAGGCCCUGAAAUGCAGUGGCGGGCUCGCUGUCACUCCGAGCGUAGUAGUUACAUCUCGCUCUGGGCGUGCUGCGGGUUCCGGCCGUUAAAAGCCUUAUUUACCCUAGGUUGACCUCGGAUCAGGUAGGAAGACCCGCUGAACUUAAGCAUAUCAAUAAGCGGAGGA